RNAcentral lists this ribosomal RNA (469 nucleotides) under uncultured bacterium. RNAcentral's name for it is "partial 16S ribosomal RNA". It matches the Rfam family "Bacterial small subunit ribosomal RNA", at positions 28 to 507 of the family's 1533-position model. The record is from RNAcentral.
GACGAACGCUGGCGGCGUGCUUAACACAUGCAAGUCGAACGAUGAUCUCCCGCUUGCGGGGGUGAUUAGUGGCGAACGGGUGAGUAAUACGUGAGUAACCUGCCCUUGACUCUGGGAUAAGCCUGGGAAACCGGGUCUAAUACUGGAUACUACUUCCUGCCGCAUGGUGGGGGGUGGAAAGGGUUUUACUGGUUUUGGAUGGGCUCACGGCCUAUCAGCUUGUUGGUGGAGUAAUGGCUCACCAAGGCGACGACGGGUAGCCGGCCUGAGAGGGUGACCGGCCACACUGGGACUGAGACACGGCCCAGACUCCUACGGGAGGCAGCAGUGGGGAAUAUUGCACAAUGGGCGGAAGCCUGAUGCAGCGACGCCGCGUGAGGGAUGACGGCCUUCGGGUUGUGAACCUCUUUCAGCAGGGAAGAAGCCACAAGUGACGGUACCUGCAGAAGAAGCGCCGGCUAACUACGUG